RNAcentral lists this ribosomal RNA (484 nucleotides) under uncultured bacterium. RNAcentral describes it as "partial 16S ribosomal RNA". It matches the Rfam family "Bacterial small subunit ribosomal RNA", at positions 30 to 507 of the family's 1533-position model. The record is from RNAcentral.
AUUGAACGCUGGCGGCAGGCCUAACACAUGCAAGUCGAGCGGAUGAAGGGAGCUUGCUCCUGGAUUCAGCGGCGGACGGGUGAGUAAUGCCUAGGAAUCUGCCUGGUAGUGGGGGAUAACGUCCGGAAACGGGCGCUAAUACCGCAUACGUCCUGAGGGAGAAAGUGGGGGAUCUUCGGACCUCACGCUAUCAGAUGAGCCUAGGUCGGAUUAGCUAGUUGGUGGGGUAAAGGCCUACCAAGGCGACGAUCCGUAACUGGUCUGAGAGGAUGAUCAGUCAAACUGGGACUGAGAAACGGUCCAGACUCCUACGGGAGGCAGCAGUGGGGAAUAUUGGACAAUGGGCGAAAGCAUGAUCCAGCCAUGCCGCGUGUGUGAAGAAGGUCUUCGGAUUGUAAAGCACUUUAAGUUGGGAGGAAGGGCAGUAAGUUAAUACCUUGCUGUUUUGACGUUACCAACAGAAUAAGCACCGGCUAACUUCGUG